Pongo pygmaeus (Bornean orangutan) is the source of this 870-nucleotide long non-coding RNA. RefSeq lists it as uncharacterized. Lineage: Eukaryota; Metazoa; Chordata; Mammalia; Primates; Hominidae. The record is from RefSeq and is a predicted model, not a curated record. The transcript is spliced from 6 exons.
AGCGUAUGAGAGGCACACCUGGCUGGGCGCAGUGGCUCAUGCCUAUAAUCCCAGCACUUUGGGAGACCAAGAACAUGUGCAUCCUCCAACUUACCUUGUGAGAAGUGGAUACACCAGGAAGUCAAUGAAACUCAUGCCUUUCUAAGUCUACUAUCUUUAUACCCUGAAAGUUCUGAGUUCAGCAAAGAAAUCUCCACUGCAUAUACCACCAAGCACAUUGGCUAACAGACAGUGAACAGAAGUGGAACUGAUGAGUACUACGAGGUUAGGAUCACACAAGUCAUUAAAUGGAAGAGCCUCUUAUCCAGAUCUGACUGACUCCAAAUGCCAUGCCAUCAUCUACUGCACCGUGCUGGCUCUAAUAAUGGUAUUAGUUCCAUUUCUUGAACUCAAGACCUGAAAUUCAUGUUUAUUAACCAACCUAUUGGGUCCAUGUAGAGGAAGCAGAGCUAUUGUCAGCAGCACUUUCUAACUAAGCACAGUACUGCAUGGGGACGGAGUACACUCUGGCUUGGCACAGCAGUCCUGGGCCUCUCCAUGCAGCAUCAUCACAGAGCAAGCUCUCAGACUGCCCCAAGAGUAAAUUCCUCACCAAAGAAAAUCAUCAAGCAUACCACCCUGUGGGAAACAUCUAAUAAGUCACGCUUUGGGAAACACUGUCCUCACUGGCAUGUAGUAUCCACAUAAUAUUAAACAGUCAUCUCAGGUGUUAAUGCUGAACAUGAGGAGCAUCUGUCUCUGCAAAAAGGCGAUGGCAACCAGCUCUGGCACAGUUGCUAGGACAGUGUCCAGGAUCUCUCGGGUCAUUUUUUGCCCUAGCCAAUAGGGUAAAAGCAUUUUGAGAACCAGGAGAAUGCCAAUGAGAACUGA